RNAcentral lists this ribosomal RNA (467 nucleotides) under uncultured bacterium. RNAcentral's name for it is "partial 16S ribosomal RNA". It matches the Rfam family "Bacterial small subunit ribosomal RNA", at positions 28 to 507 of the family's 1533-position model. The record is from RNAcentral.
GAUGAACGCUGGCGGCGCGCCUAACACAUGCAAGUCGAACGAUUAAAGCACCUUCGGGUGUGUAUAAAGUGGCGAACGGUUGAGUAACACGUGGGCAACCUGCCCCUUUCAUUGGGAUAGCCACGGGAAACCGUGGAUAAUACCGAAUACUUCGAGACUUCCGCAUGGAAGACUCGAGAAAGCUCCGGCGGAGAGGGAUGGGCCCGCGGCCUGUUAGCUUGUUGGUGGGGUAACGGCCUACCAAGGCAAUGAUGGGUAGCUGGGUUGAGAGACCGACCAGCCAGAUUGGGACUGAGACACGGCCCAGACUCCUACGGGAGGCAGCAGUGGGGAAUCUUGCACAAUGGGCGAAAGCCUGAUGCAGCGACGCCGCGUGCGGGAUGAAGGCCUUCGGGUUGUAAACCGCUUUCAGCAGGGACGAGGCGAAAGUGACGGUACCUGCAGAAGAAGCCCCGGCUAACUACGUG